This 446-nucleotide ribosomal RNA is filed under the name uncultured bacterium. Its description in RNAcentral is "partial 16S ribosomal RNA". It matches the Rfam family "Bacterial small subunit ribosomal RNA", at positions 338 to 795 of the family's 1533-position model. The record is from RNAcentral.
CCUACGGGUGGCUGCAGUCGAGAAUCAUUCACAAUGGGGGAAACCCUGAUGGGGCGACGCCGCGUGGGGGAAUGAAGGUCUCCGGAUUGUAAACCCCUGUCAUGUGGGAGCAAAUUAAAAAGAUAGUACCACAAGAGGAAGAGAAGGCUAACUCGGUGCCAGCAGCCGCGGUAAUACAGAGGUCUCAAGCGUUGUUCGGAAUCACUGGGCGUAAAGCGUGCGUAGGCUGUUUCGUAAGUCGUGUGUGAAAGGCGCGGGCUCAACCCGCGGACGGCAUAUGAUACUGCGAGACUAGAGUAAGGGAGGGGGAACCGGAAUUCUCGGUGUAGCAGUGAAAUGCGUAGAUAUCGAGAGGAACACUCGUGGCGAAGGCGGGUUCCUGGACAUUAACUGACGCUGAGGCACGAAGGCCAGGGGAGCGAAAAGGAUUAGAUACCCUGGUAGUC